RNAcentral lists this long non-coding RNA (1499 nucleotides) under Felis catus (domestic cat). RNAcentral describes it as "lncRNA (ENSFCAG00000048220.1)". Lineage: Eukaryota; Metazoa; Chordata; Mammalia; Carnivora; Felidae. The record is from RNAcentral.
CAACUCCAGGCCAAGGGUUCCAAAUGAUGGUGUUUAUUAGACCUUUAUUCCUUUCUAGGCGCCUCUCCCAUAGAUUCUUCCAGAAUCGAAAUGUAGAAAAGUAAGCCUUGGGAAGGGCCUCGAGGGGCCUCCAGGGUCAAGUUCCAUCUCGCCCCAAGUGUCCCGUGUUGACCCUGGUUCAGUCCUUGGUGGCCACGGAGUAUCUCCUCCGUGCCCGGGAAUGGCCACAUUCCGUGGCAGAGUACAAAACUGUUGAAGACAUGGGCUCUGCCCUCAAAUAGCUCAAAGACAUGAAAAGAAAAAGACAAAUUAGAACUUCAUGAGUGAAUGCAAACCAAUGAAAUUAUGGCUCUCGCUAAGGCAAUGCCGCUGAGAGCCCAUGAAUGCUGCACUCUGGAGGGGCUAUGAGAUCAUACAAGGGCGAUGCCAGUUUCUGUCAUCCACUGGCCAAGAGAACUGCAAAACAUGGUGUGGACUUUGAGCAAGGAUUCGGGCUGGGCCCAGGGGGGUCAGCCUCUUGCCCAUCUGCUGAUUUGGUGGGCUGGCAACGUCCCAGGGAGAGGGCGUUGUACGGGGGAGAGCGCGUUGGGAAGGUGUCUUCGCAUAGACGCCGGGAGCUGAGCUGAGCGGCCGUGGAGGAAGACAGCAUGAUCCCUCUCCCUGGCCCAGCCCCUGGCCCAUGUCGUGUGGCCCAUGUCGUGCAGCUGUUUUCACAGGGGCUGUUUGGGAGCCCAGUUGACACAGUGGCCCGCAGAGUGGAGGAAGCAUGCAUUUCUCCCCUGCCUGGGUCCCACAAGAAUGCGGAGUCAUCAGGAUGGGUGUCCAUGAGCAGCGUGCAAGGGUGAGGGAAAGCUGAUGCCAGAGUGGGGGUGUAAUUCCCAGUGGAGAUGGAGGGCGAGAGCUGAUGCCCCCGUGGUCAUGGGCGAUUGUUUUCAAGUGGCAAGAGGAUAGACUUCUGGAGAAUCUGCACGAGGCCUUUCUUGUGGAUUCCCGGAAAUACACUUCCUGGGGGCAGCCAUCUUGGAGGGGAGGUCCUUACAUUGACGUGGUAAACCAGAACAAUCGAAGCGAACACCAUGGAGUACUGAGGUCUUUCGUGUACCAACGAACUGAUGAAGCUAGGGAAAUUGGGUGCCCCAAAGGGACCAGGACAUUUGGGGGGAUGAGAGACGGGGUUAAGCGGCUUCCUCCUCUCCUGGCCGGGAAGCUCCUGUGUGCUAGGGUAGCUGUUCCAGGAGAUAGGCAGCAAAUGGGCUUCGGAGAAAAAUUCCAAUGCCGUUAAUGAUUCCAUUUCCUCUCCGUUCUGUGACCGAAAGUGCAAUUGGCAGGAAACUUGAACCCCCCAAGUCCCGACAGAAGCUGGAGGGCUCUGUGAUCCGUGGGUGAAAUGGUAGGGCACCCCCUAAUUUGUUCUGAGCUUCCUGAACGCUGCGGGGAAGGCACUGGAAUGGUAGUUUCCUCUGAAAUACAAAAAUAAAAUAAAGUAAAAGGUUGUGACA